AUCGAUUCAACGUGCACACCAAAUCUUUUUGUCUCCCAAAACUAUUUUUGUCCUCUUAUCUUCUUCGUUGGUGGAGCUUUUCAAACAGAUCGAGAGCUCUUGAAACAUAGAAAUGGUGUACUACAAUAUCCCGUCAAGGCAGAGCUCGAGCAACAACAAGAGCAAAAGGAACUCAUUCAUAAGGCAACUCCAACAAUAGCUAUGGAAGAAGAAGAAGAAGAAGAAGAAGAAACAAAUUAUAUUAUGGGUCGAGCAAAGUAGAUUCUCAGACGAAACCGAUUCUGGCUCUUGCAGAGAUUUUGGAGCUCACAAAGAAAUAUUUUCUCCGAAUUUAUUCGAGUUUUGGUACAACGGAACGACAAGGUUAUUCCUUUGUUCUUUUUUGAAUGUGUUGCUUUGAUAUUUUCUGGUGAUCGAAACACAUUUAUGUGGUUUUCUAACUUAAUUUACCUGUUUAUAUUGUACGUAAGCUUCAUAUACCCAUAUACGCACACUGUGUUUGGAACACCAGAAAUCUCAAAGUAUUGCUUUUCUUUUGCA
Molecule: long non-coding RNA, 540 nt
Organism: Tarenaya hassleriana
Lineage: Eukaryota; Viridiplantae; Streptophyta; Magnoliopsida; Brassicales; Cleomaceae
Exons: 2
Source: RefSeq, a predicted model, not a curated record